GCCAUCGAAACAGCGAUGGUCGGGUGUGGAAACCCGACAUCUACAGGCGGACGGCCGCUUUCGCGGCUUUUUU
RNAcentral lists this small RNA (73 nucleotides) under Ralstonia solanacearum. RNAcentral describes it as "isrK". It matches the Rfam family "isrK Hfq binding RNA". Lineage: Bacteria; Pseudomonadati; Pseudomonadota; Betaproteobacteria; Burkholderiales; Burkholderiaceae. RNAcentral also lists the same sequence under 1 other name. The record is from RNAcentral.